AGUGGUUGACGGUGCCCAAGGCAAUGGUAAGAAGGAGAAGAAAAGGAUCAAAGCUUUCUUUUGGGCUUUGAUGGCAUCUCUGACUCUGAUUUCCAGCGAACAUGGUGCUAGGGAAAUUAGCAAAAUGAGGAAGAAAAGGAUGGAAGAAGAGAGGAAGAGGACCAAUGCUCGUCGUGGAUUGCUCUAGAGGGGGAGAGGG
This 199-nucleotide long non-coding RNA is filed under the name Elaeis guineensis (African oil palm). RNAcentral's name for it is "long non-coding RNA (EGUI_LNC036735)". The record is from RNAcentral. Lineage: Eukaryota; Viridiplantae; Streptophyta; Magnoliopsida; Arecales; Arecaceae.